CUGUAACUUGAGUUAUGAUUGUUUGGUUUACGAGUUUUUUUUGUAACCUUCAAAACUUUACAUAAUUACACGGAAUUAUAAACGUCUCAAACCGAGCAAAGCGAGUUCACCAGAGGCCCUAAGGAAAGCAAUUGCAGACAUAGACAAUGGCUUGUUUUCGACAAGCAGCGAAGAAAUAUGACAUUAACUACAGUGUUUUGUACAGACAUCACACAUAGCAUGGCACUAAAAAAAAGCGGGAGGGUGGGACAAACUGCUCUGAGUGAAGAUGAGGAAACAACACUGGUCUGUGCCCAGCAGGAUCGGCAGCACGUAGUUGGUGGAGUGGCCCGUCGUCGAGAGCACCCCCUUGCGCUCGGACGUCUUGUACAAGGGGCACACGUAGCGCGCUCUCAGCUGGAGGGCCGCUCGCUCGCACGGCUUCAACCAAAUGAGCGGCAUCCUGUCCACCAGCACUUUGGGCCUCUGCUCUGCCAGCUGCUUCCUGCAAGGGCACACACGUCUCCUUCGUCAGAACUGAACAAGGUGCAUCCGGAUACUCGCUCUGUGUAUCAACCAGGUGGCAAUACAGAAUACGCUUUACAGCGGUGUUUGGGUAUCUGGUGGAUCAGAUAUCAGAUGUACCUAGUAUCCGUUUAAUGGAAAUUUUAAAAUGUCAGUUUUACUUUAUAAAAAAAUACAGUUAGUGGCAGAAACAUGCUUCUUAAAUAAAGCACCAUAAAUUACACGAGUCUUGACGUCACAUAGACUAAUGGCAACAGGAACGCCUGAUGAUGUUGGACCCUUACCUUGCUGCCAGCUCAAUGAUUAAAUUUUGUAGAGUUGAGUUCGGGCAAGGCUUACAGGUUUACUCAGUCAAUUGGCAUAUAUAGAUAAGAUAUUAUUGUACAUUCUUUGUAGCGGCUUUAGAUCAUAAAGUAUUGUUAAUAUUAUUUAUCAGUUUACAAAAUAGUAGAUGUUUGUAAAAGAGUAGGCUUGUGCAAAAUUCGACUGAGUGAAUCAAAUUGAACCUCUGUUUAGGAUUCAAUUUAAAUAAUAAUUUGCCAGAAAAAGUUAAUUGUUACUAAGCUUUAAAACAAUGGAUGCUUAAGUUAUAAGUCUGAAUUUUUUAAUUUUGAAAUUGUGCUUUUUAAUUUCACAAUUACAGAUGAUCAUAACUAAAGCAAAUAGCUGUUUGGUUGGAGUGAUAGGCCACAUUAAUACGAGGAAAACUAUUUACGUGAUUGACUUUUACAUUUUCCAGGGAUUUUAUAGUUUUCUGAAGGUACAUAUGACAUUUAAAUCACUUUGUAACAUUCUCUAAAAUAUACUUUACAGAACACAUUUUUUUUAGGUUUCUACACAUUCAAGAAUAACGAUUUAGGAUACAUUUCACAUGGUAAGUCAUAUAGGUAUUUGUAACACACAAGGAACUUUCUAAAAUCAAUUAUUUAGAUAUCCAUUUCUUUUAGAGUGACAACAGAUAGUAUCAAUAUACAGAGCCAAUGCAAUAACGUGCUGUGUGUAACAACAAGGAAGUGUUUCAUAUGUUUAUUAUUUUUAUUUUUAGUAUUUAUUUUAAUAAUGGGCUAGUUUUGUUGUUUAUUACAAAUGUUGAAAUGAAGUUUGCAACAUUUUUUUACUAUAGUUUUUAAUAUUUCAUGUGACAUUUGAAAAUGCCAAAGUAUUGUUAUUUUUGAAAUAAGUAAAAUCUUUGUUAGAUCUUUUUAUGGAAUGAAAAUAAUUUUUUGUGUAUUAUAUUUUUAUUGCGUGAAUAAAGGUGGUUACUUAAAAGAAU
Long non-coding RNA from Bacillus rossius redtenbacheri, 1777 nucleotides. RefSeq lists it as uncharacterized. The record is from RefSeq and is a predicted model, not a curated record. The transcript has 3 exons. Lineage: Eukaryota; Metazoa; Arthropoda; Insecta; Phasmatodea; Bacillidae.